GUGCUUGCUUCAGCAGCACAUAUACUAAAAUUGGAACAAUAACAAAGAUUAGCAUGGCCCCUG
Molecule: small nuclear RNA, 63 nt
Filed under: Rhinopithecus roxellana (golden snub-nosed monkey)
Lineage: Eukaryota; Metazoa; Chordata; Mammalia; Primates; Cercopithecidae
Source: RNAcentral